UUAGGUGGCCAUGGCGACGGGGCCCACCCCUUACCAUUCCGAACAGGGAAGUUAAGCCCGUCUGCGCCGAUGGUACUGCUACACCAAGUGGGAGAGUAGGCCGCCGCCUUUUUUUGAAAGCACUUGCCGUUUUUACGGUAGGUGCUUUUUUUUGUCCGAACUUUAAUAAAAGGGCACGCCUUGGGCGUGAUU
Molecule: ribosomal RNA, 192 nt
Filed under: Arenibacter sp. ARW7G5Y1
Lineage: Bacteria; Pseudomonadati; Bacteroidota; Flavobacteriia; Flavobacteriales; Flavobacteriaceae
Source: RNAcentral